UACAAUAAAUGAUAUGACAGUGUAAAAAACCACAAUACUAGGACAACCAACUAGAGAGCAUUCAUAAAACAGGCAAGGAACUCCCCUUCAAAGCUGCAUCUCACCUUAUAGCUGCGUGCGUUUUCCUCCAUAUCUGUUCCUUCAAAGCUCCCCAAAAUCAAACCAAUACACAACCCACACUUGUUUCUUCAACAAACACCAAAGCCAUGACUUUUCCUUCUUCUCCACUUCCAUUCAUGUUCGUCAUCAUAACGUUUCUAUUGGCUCUUCUUCAUAGAAACGCUGCUGAAACUUCCACUUCCACUUCCACAAAUAUAGUUCACAUGGACAAAGCCCUCUUUCCUCAGGUCUUCAAAGCCCAUCAUGAGUGGUUUAAUUCCACCAUUGAUUCCAUAAAGUCAGCAACAGUUAAGAACUCAUCUAAGCAAACCCAGAAGCUUGUAUACUCCUACGGUCAUGCCAUGCAUGGCUUUAGUGUUGUGCUAUCAUUAGAUGAGCUGAAGAGUCUUAAGAACGCCCAUGAAUUUGUUGCUGCGUACCCGGAUAUAACUGCAAAUCUUCACACCACUCACACCUUUGAAUUUCUCUCCCUUGAUCCUUCUAGAGGACUAUGGCAUGCUUCUAAUCUCGGGGAUGAGGUCAUUGUUGGUGUCAUUGACAGUGGUGUGUGGCCUGAGAGUGAAAGCUUCAAAGAUGAUGGCAUGACCAAGGAAAUACCAAAGAGGUGGAAAGGAACAUGUGAGUGAUAAGUGCCAAAUUCACCAUGUUUUCCAUCAUAUUUUAGGCACUUAUCUAUUGUUAUUAUGGGUGAAGAGUAUUAGAGAAAGUGCAUGAUUUGAAUGAAAGAAAGCUUGUAAAUGAAAAAAUCCACUUAGCCUUGAAGAAUCCCACUCAAGAACUUUGAAAUAUCAAGAAAUUAACCUUGUUGUUCCAAUCAUGCUUAGCAUGUGUUCCAGGGUGCUAAGCACCAUCUGGCAAUGGAGGCUCCUUCAGCAUGAAGUAACAGGGUGCUAAGCGUUUAAAAUGAAGUGCUAAGCAUCAUCUGGCGGUGGGGAAUCCUUCAGCAUGAAGAAACAGGGCGCUAAGCACCUAAAGUGGAGUGCUAAGCACUCUGUAACAGAUCUGCAAUGCUAUAAAACUCAAAGUUCAGCACAAAACAGGGAGUUCACGAAAAUCAGAGAUAAAUACACAAACCCAUCACUUGGGGAAAUGGAGAACUCAAAGGAGAUCAUCAAGGGUGACCUAGGAGACUAGAGAGAAAGCUUUGGAGCUGAUUUCAUCGUCGGGAAACCGUCACGAGUCGGUUUUUCAUCGCUCUUCUUCUCUUUUAUCAUUGUAAAGCUAUCCAUGGAAAUGGAUAGCUAAUUUCUCAUUUGUUGGGAUUAGAACUAGUUGUUUUGAUGCUCAUGUAAUAUAUUUGAUUUCCUUUCAUGCAAAUUUCAUGUUUCUAUGUUAAAGAAUCAAUGGUUUUCUCUUAUGCUUCAA
This is an RNA transcript of Lotus japonicus, 1485 nucleotides long. It is a transcript of the gene named subtilisin-like protease SBT3, with no coding region annotated. The transcript is spliced from 2 exons. Lineage: Eukaryota; Viridiplantae; Streptophyta; Magnoliopsida; Fabales; Fabaceae. The record is from RefSeq and is a predicted model, not a curated record.